CCUACGGGUGGCAGCAGUGAGGAAUAUUGGUCAAUGGGCGCGAGCCUGAACCAGCCAAGUAGCGUGAAGGAUGACUGCCCUACGGGUUGUAAACUUCUUUUAUAAAGGAAUAAAGUGAGGCACGUGUGCCCUUAUGUAUGUUUUUUAUGAAUAAGGAUCGGCGAAAUUCGUGCCAGCAGCCGCGGUAAUACGGAGGAUCCGAGCGUUUUCCGGAUUUAUUGGGGUUAAAGGGAGCGUAGAUGGGAUGUUAAGUUCGUUGGGAAAGUUUGCGGCUCAAACGUAAAAUUGCAAUUGAUACUGGUGUCCUUGAGUACAGUUGAGGUAGGCGGAAUUCGUGGUGUAGCGGUGAAAUGCUUAGAUAUCACGAAGAACUCCGAUUGCGAAGGCAGCCUACUAAACUGCCACUGACAUUGAUGCUCGAAAGUGUGGGUAUCAAACAGGAUUAGAUACCCGAGUAGUC
RNAcentral lists this ribosomal RNA (460 nucleotides) under uncultured bacterium. RNAcentral's name for it is "partial 16S ribosomal RNA". It matches the Rfam family "Bacterial small subunit ribosomal RNA", at positions 338 to 795 of the family's 1533-position model. The record is from RNAcentral.